GACGAACGCUGGCGGCGUGCUUAACACAUGCAAGUCGAACGAAGUGGCGAACGGGUGAGUAACGCGUAAUCAACCUGCCCUUCAGAGGGGGACAACAGUUGGAAACGACUGCUAAUACCGCAUACUGAAGGAGGGGCUUGCGUCUGAUUGGCUAGUUGGAGGGGUAACGGCCCACCAAGGCGAAGAUCAGUAGCCGGGCUGGGAGGAUGAACGGCCAAAUUGGGACUGGGACACGGCCCAGACUCCUACGGGAGGCAGGAGGGGGGAAUCUUCCGCAAUGGACGAAAGGCUGACGGGGCAACGCCGCGUGAGUGAUGACGGCUUUCGGGUUGGAAAGCUCUGUUAAUCGGGACGCGGUACCGGAAUAGAAAGCCACGGCUAACUACGUGCCAGCAGCCGCGGUAAUUC
RNAcentral lists this ribosomal RNA (408 nucleotides) under uncultured bacterium. Its description in RNAcentral is "partial 16S ribosomal RNA". It matches the Rfam family "Bacterial small subunit ribosomal RNA", at positions 28 to 526 of the family's 1533-position model. The record is from RNAcentral.